Molecule: ribosomal RNA, 428 nt
Filed under: uncultured bacterium
Lineage: Bacteria
Description: bacterial SSU rRNA
Rfam family: Bacterial small subunit ribosomal RNA
Source: RNAcentral
GCAGAACGCGAAGAACCUUACCUGGGUUUGACAUGGCCGCAAAACCGGCAGAGAUGUCGGGUCCUUCGGGGGCGGUCACAGGUGGUGCAUGGCUGUCGUCAGCUCGUGUCGUGAGAUGUUGGGUUAAGUCCCGCAACGAGCGCAACCCUCGUUCGAUGUUGCCAGCGGUUCGGCCGGGGACUCAUCGAAGACUGCCGGGGUCAACUCGGAGGAAGGUGGGGAUGACGUCAAGUCAUCAUGCCCCUUAUGUCCAGGGCUUCACGCAUGCUACAAUGGCCGGUACAAUGGGCUGCGAUACCGUGAGGUGGAGCGAAUCCCAAAAAGCCGGUCUCAGUUCGGAUCGGGGUCUGCAACUCGACCCCGUGAAGUCGGAGUCGCUAGUAAUCGCAGAUCAGCAACGCUGCGGUGAAUACGUUCCCGGGUCUUGU